RNAcentral lists this signal recognition particle RNA (102 nucleotides) under Dechloromonas aromatica RCB. It matches the Rfam family "Bacterial small signal recognition particle RNA". From Rfam's summary of the family: The signal recognition particle (SRP) is a universally conserved ribonucleoprotein involved in the co-translational targeting of proteins to membranes. Lineage: Bacteria; Pseudomonadati; Pseudomonadota; Betaproteobacteria; Rhodocyclales; Azonexaceae. The record is from RNAcentral.
CGGCGGGUCUCCCCGCAUUACAGUGUGGUGAACCUGGUCAGGUCCGGAAGGAAGCAGCCACAGCCAAUUAUUGUAAGUGCCGGGGGUUAGGCUCGCCAAUUU